GAUGAACGCUGGCGGCGUGCCUAAUACAUGCAAGUCGAGCGAACAGACGAGGAGCUUGCGCCUUUGACUUUGGCGGCGGACGGGUGCGUACCACGUAGGUAACCUACCUCUAAGACUGGGGUACCUUCGGGAAACCGUAUCUACUACCGGAUAAUAUUUCGCACCGCAUGGUUCGAUAGUGAAAGAUGGCUUUGCUAUCGCUUAUAGAUGGACCUGCACCGUAUUAGCUAGUUGGGAAGGUAACGGCUUACCAAGGCAACGAGGGGUAGCCGACCCCAGAGGGUGAUUCCCCAGCUGGGAACAGAGGCACGGUACAGACUCCUACGGGAGGCAGCAGUAGAGAAUCCUACGGGAUGCGGCAAAGCCUGAUGUAGGACCGCCGCGGGAGUGAUGAAGCUGUUAGGAUCGGAAAACGAUGUAGGCAGUGAAGAACUAAAGUGUAAUUAACCGGGAUGGUCUUGACGGUACCUAAAGAGAAAGCCCCGGCUAACUACGUG
RNAcentral lists this ribosomal RNA (497 nucleotides) under uncultured bacterium. Its description in RNAcentral is "partial 16S ribosomal RNA". It matches the Rfam family "Bacterial small subunit ribosomal RNA", at positions 28 to 507 of the family's 1533-position model. The record is from RNAcentral.